GACGAACGCUGGCAUCGUGCCUAAUACAUGCAAGUCGAGCGGACUGAAUGGAAGUUUGCUUUCGUUCGGUUAGCGGCGGACGGGUGAGUAACACGUGGGCAACCUGCCCGUAAGACCGGGAUAACUUCGGGAAACCGGAGCUAAUACCGGAUAACACCGAAGAUCGCAUGGUCUUUGGUUGAAAGGCGGCUUUGGCUGUCACUUACGGAUGGGCCCGCGGCGCAUUAGCUAGUUGGUGAGGUAACGGCUCACCAAGGCGACGAUGCGUAGCCGACCUGAGAGGGUGAUCGGCCACACUGGGACUGAGACACGGCCCAGACUCCUACGGGAGGCAGCAGUAGGGAAUCUUCCGCAAUGGACGAAAGUCUGACGGAGCAACGCCGCGUGAGCGAAGAAGGUCUUCGGAUUGUAAAGCUCUGUUGUUAGGGAAGAACAAGUACCGUUCGAAGAGGGCGGUACCGUGACGGUACCUAACGAGAAAGCCACGGCUAACUACGUGCCAGCCGCCGCGGUAAAAC
This 518-nucleotide ribosomal RNA is filed under the name uncultured bacterium. RNAcentral describes it as "bacterial SSU rRNA". It matches the Rfam family "Bacterial small subunit ribosomal RNA", at positions 28 to 526 of the family's 1533-position model. The record is from RNAcentral.